RNAcentral lists this ribosomal RNA (1436 nucleotides) under uncultured organism. RNAcentral's name for it is "16S ribosomal RNA". It matches the Rfam family "Bacterial small subunit ribosomal RNA". The record is from RNAcentral.
CAGGCUUAACACAUGCAAGUCGAGGGGCAGCAUGGUCUUAGCUUGCUAAGGCCGAUGGCGACCGGCGCACGGGUGAGUAACGCGUAUCCAACCUGCCUUACACUCUUGGACAGCCUUCUGAAAGGGAGAUUAAUACAAGAUGUUAUCAUGAGUAAGCAUUUUCGCAUGAUUAAAGGUUUACCGGUGUAAGAUGGGGAUGCGUUCCAUUAGAUAGUAGGCGGGGUAACGGCCCACCUAGUCUUCGAUGGAUAGGGGUUCUGAGAGGAAGGUCCCCCACAUUGGAACUGAGACACGGUCCAAACUCCUACGGGAGGCAGCAGUGAGGAAUAUUGGUCAAUGGACGAGAGUCUGAACCAGCCAAGUAGCGUGAGGGAUGAAGGUUCUAUGGAUUGUAAACUUCUUUUAUACGGGAAUAAACGAAUCCACGUGUGGAUUUUUGCAUGUACCGUAUGAAUAAGGAUCGGCUAACUCCGUGCCAGCAGCCGCGGUAAUACGGAGGAUCCGAGCGUUAUCCGGAUUUAUUGGGUUUAAAGGGAGCGUAGAUGGGUUGUUAAGUCAGUUGUGAAAGUUUGCGGCUCAACCGUAAAAUUGCAAUUGAUACUGGCAGUCUUGAGUACAGUUGAGGUAGGCGGAAUUCGUGGUGUAGCGGUGAAAUGCUUAGAUAUCACGAAGAACUCCGAUUGCGAAGGCAGCUUACUAACCUGUAACUGACAUUGAUGCUCGAAAGUGUGGGUAUCAAACAGGAUUAGAUACCCUGGUAGUCCACACGGUAAACGAUGAAUACUCGCUGUAGGCGAUAUACAGUCUGCGGCCAAGCGAAAGCAUUAAGUAUUCCACCUGGGGAGUACGCCGGCAACGGUGAAACUCAAAGGAAUUGACGGGGGCCCGCACAAGCGGAGGAACAUGUGGUUUAAUUCGAUGAUACGCGAGGAACCUUACCCGGGCUUAAAUUGCAACCGAAUAUGGCGGAAACGCUAUAGCUAGCAAUAGCGGUUGUGAAGGUGCUGCAUGGUUGUCGUCAGCUCGUGCCGUGAGGUGUCGGCUUAAGUGCCAUAACGAGCGCAACCCUUGCCGAUAGUUACUAACAGGUCAUGCUGAGGACUCUGUCGGGACUGCCAUCGUAAGAUGUGAGGAAGGUGGGGAUGACGUCAAAUCAGCACGGCCCUUACGUCCGGGGCUACACACGUGUUACAAUGGGGGGUACAGAGGGCUGCUACCACGCAAGUGGAUGCCAAUCCCAAAAACCUCUCUCAGUUCGGAUUGAAGUCUGCAACCCGACUUCAUGAAGCUGGAUUCGCUAGUAAUCGCGCAUCAGCCACGGCGCGGUGAAUACGUUCCCGGGCCUUGUACACACCGCCCGUCAAGCCAUGGGAGCCGGGGGUACCUGAAGUGCGUAACCGCAAGGAGCGCCCUAGGGUAAAACUGGUGACUGGGGC